RNAcentral lists this ribosomal RNA (391 nucleotides) under Asaccus margaritae. RNAcentral describes it as "partial 12S ribosomal RNA". It matches the Rfam family "Bacterial small subunit ribosomal RNA", at positions 796 to 1382 of the family's 1533-position model. The record is from RNAcentral. Lineage: Eukaryota; Metazoa; Chordata; Lepidosauria; Squamata; Phyllodactylidae.
CUAGCCGUAACCCUAAAUAGGCAUGCUAACCCCCCCUAUUCGCCAGAGAAUUACACGUGAAAAGCUUAAAACUCAAAGGACUUGACGGUAACCCAAACCAGCCUAGAGGAGCCUGUCCUUUAAUCGAUAAUCCACGAUUCACCUCACCCCCUCAAACCUAUUUAGCCUAUAUACCGCCGUCGCCAGCCUACCUAAUGAUAGAGUAAAAGUAGGUACAAUAGUCCCACCCACUAAAACGUCAGGUCAAGGUGUAGCUAAUGUGGGGGGAAGAGAUGGGCUACAUUUUCUAUACCCUAGACCCCACCGUAGGUUCCAUGAAACUUAAACUGAAAGGCGGAUUUAGCAGUAAGAACUGACAAGAUUUGUCUAACUGAAACCUGCUCUGGGUUGC